CUGUCACCGUCGCCGACUGCAACGCAAUCCGCUGGCAGGAGCGGGGGAACCACUUUUGGAUCAACCAGCUGGUUGGUCCUUGGGGUUAAGUCAGUCCUCGACUGGCCGGGCAGCAACCUCCGCCCGAACCCGACAGCUCACCCCGCAGGCAUCGAGAGGUUCA
RNAcentral lists this small RNA (163 nucleotides) under Knoellia subterranea. Its description in RNAcentral is "c-di-AMP sequence". It matches the Rfam family "c-di-AMP riboswitch aptamer (ydaO/yuaA leader)". Rfam says of the family: This family represents a conserved RNA structure found upstream of the ydaO and yuaA genes in Bacillus subtilis and related genes in other bacteria. The record is from RNAcentral. Lineage: Bacteria; Bacillati; Actinomycetota; Actinomycetes; Micrococcales; Intrasporangiaceae. RNAcentral also lists the same sequence under 1 other name.